RNAcentral lists this ribosomal RNA (89 nucleotides) under Escherichia coli. RNAcentral's name for it is "partial 16S ribosomal RNA". It matches the Rfam family "Bacterial small subunit ribosomal RNA", at positions 1 to 90 of the family's 1533-position model. Lineage: Bacteria; Pseudomonadati; Pseudomonadota; Gammaproteobacteria; Enterobacterales; Enterobacteriaceae. The record is from RNAcentral.
AAAUUGAAGAGUUUGAUCAUGGCUCAGAUUGAACGCUGGCGGCAGGCCUAACACAUGCAAGUCGAACGGUAACGGGAAUCAGCUUGCUG